Molecule: ribosomal RNA, 903 nt
Filed under: Saccoblastia farinacea
Lineage: Eukaryota; Fungi; Basidiomycota; Atractiellomycetes; Atractiellales; Phleogenaceae
Description: eukaryotic LSU rRNA
Rfam family: Eukaryotic large subunit ribosomal RNA
Source: RNAcentral
AAACUAACUAGGAUUCCNUCAGUAACGRCGAGUGAAGCGGGAACAGUUCAGAUUAGUAAUCUGGCGUCUUNGGCGUCCGAGUUGUAAUCUGUAGAAGAGUAUUCCGNGUCGGCCCNNGCCCAAGUCNGKUGGAAUUGGGCGCCAUGGAGGGUGAGAGCCCCGUUGGUGGCAUGGACUACAGAUGCUUUGCGKUGCGUUCUCAAAGAGUCGUGUUGUUUGGGAAGCAGCACUAACGGGUGGUAAAUUCCAUCUAAAGCUAAAUAUUAGCGAGAGACCGAUAGCGAACAAGUACGGUGAGGGAAAGAUGAAAAGCACUUUGGAAAGAGAGUUAAACAGUACGUGAAAUUGUUGAAAGGGAAACGCUUGAAAUCAGUCAUGCGUNUGGGGUUCAGCCGCAAGGUGUACUCUCCUUCWGGCAGGUCAGCGUCGGUUUCGGGGGUCGGAUAAUGGGUCGGGGAACGUGGCUCGGCUUCGGUCGAGUGUUACAGCCCCUUCCUGGAUACGGCUUCUGGGACCGAGGACCGCGGCGCGCCNUACGGGCAGGGGGUCCGCCCCCUUCCGCGCCAAGGAUGCUGGCGUAAUGGUUUUAAACGACCCGUCUUGAAACACGGACCAAGGAGUCUAACAUGCCCGCGAGUGUUUGGGUGUCAAACCCGGACGCGUAGCGAAAGCGAAUGCAGGUGGGAUCCGCGAGGUGCACCAUCGACCGACCCUGAGCUAUUGCGACGGGUUCGAGUAAGAGCGAGCGUGUUGGGACCCGAAAGAUGGUGAACUAUGCCUGAAUAGGGUGAAGCCAGAGGAAACUCUGGUGGAGGCUCGUAGCGGUUCUGACGUGCAAAUCGAUCGUCAAAUUUGGGUAUAGGGGCGAAAGACUAAUCGAACCAUGUAGUAGCUGGUUCUNNN